RNAcentral lists this long non-coding RNA (432 nucleotides) under Daucus carota (carrot). RNAcentral's name for it is "long non-coding RNA (DCAR_LNC005420)". Lineage: Eukaryota; Viridiplantae; Streptophyta; Magnoliopsida; Apiales; Apiaceae. The record is from RNAcentral.
UCCUCUCUCUCUCUCUCAAUACUACAACCAUACCUCUCUUUGGUGAUAGUUCUCUUGCUUGAUUUCUAAUUCGAUGGUGCCGAUCUUCUGCAACGAUUAAGUGAAGGCUGUUUAUAUAGUAUUAAAAAAAUAAAGGUUGUUGCAAGUAAAGGUAGUUAUAGAUCGCUACGUGGGAGUCGACAAAUUCAAACAAGGGAAAGAAUAUAGUCUUGACAUGAUAUUGAUAGAUGAUAUCAAUAAAUUAAAUUAAUGAUGUAUGUUUGUUGGUUAUUCUUUUAUAAUAUUUGUUUUGUUCAUCGGACAUGUUUGUUGUUAAUUUUUAUAUGUUACUUUGUAUACAAGAAAAUAUGGUGGAGAAGCGAGGGGCGUGUAGGUGCCUCUCAAAUCGCUCCGUUCUAAUUUUCUGGAAUUUUUGGAUGAAAAAUAUUAAAA